GACCCCAGGUCAGGCGGGGUUACCCGCUG
Molecule: ribosomal RNA, 29 nt
Filed under: Tidestromia lanuginosa
Lineage: Eukaryota; Viridiplantae; Streptophyta; Magnoliopsida; Caryophyllales; Amaranthaceae
Also listed under: 2 other names
Description: partial 26S ribosomal RNA
Source: RNAcentral